Molecule: long non-coding RNA, 305 nt
Filed under: Gossypium barbadense (sea-island cotton)
Lineage: Eukaryota; Viridiplantae; Streptophyta; Magnoliopsida; Malvales; Malvaceae
Description: long non-coding RNA (GBAR_LNC015678)
Source: RNAcentral
GGAAACUUCAGUGCUAGCAACCAACAGAGACUGCAAUCAAUGGAGGCACCAGUUGAGUAUGCAAACUGGGAGAAGAUGAGAGCCCAAGUUAGACCAAAUCAUCAUCAGAAUGCUCCAUCACAGGCAGAAACAGAUCAGACAAGUGAACCUUCGAAGGUGGGAUCUCAAAAUAUGGAGGAGGACCCAAAAGUAUUACCUGCGGUGGCAAAUAGCGAUCGACCUUCUUAUGAUGGGUAUAACUGGAGGAAAUAUGGACAAAAGCAAGUGAAAGGGAGCGAAUAUCCGCGAAGCUACUAUAAGUGUAC